RNAcentral lists this ribosomal RNA (432 nucleotides) under uncultured bacterium. RNAcentral's name for it is "partial 16S ribosomal RNA". It matches the Rfam family "Bacterial small subunit ribosomal RNA", at positions 29 to 506 of the family's 1533-position model. The record is from RNAcentral.
AACGAACGCUGGCGGCAUGCCUAACACAUGCAAGUCGAACGAGACCUUCGGGUCUAGUGGCGCACGGGUGCGUAACGCGUGGGAACCUGCCCUUAGGUUCGGAAUAACUCCCCGAAAGGGGUGCUAAUACCGGAUAAUGUCUUCGGACCAAAGAUUUAUCGCCUUUGGAUGGGCCCGCGUUGGAUUAGCUAGUUGGUAGGGUAAAAGCCUACCAAGGCGACGAUCCAUAGCUGGUCUGAGAGGAUGAUCAGCCACACUGGGACUGAGACACGGCCCAGACUCCUACGGGAGGCAGCAGUGGGGAAUAUUGGACAAUGGGCGAAAGCCUGAUCCAGCAAUGCCGCGGGAGUGAUGAAGGCCUUAGGGUGGUAAAGCUCUUUUACCCGGGAUGAUAAGGACAGGACCGGGAGAAUAAGCUCCGGCUAACUCCGG